GGGAAACAGAAGAUUCCCUUGAGAGUAACAGGCUGGAGUUGAUUUCUGAGACAAAGAAAAAGAAUAAUGGCAGAGUUAUAAAUGAGAUGAUGUCAAGAACCUUCAGUUUGAGAAGACAGGAGAUUGUAGGUCAAGCCCCAAGUGUUGCAGAUCUUCUAGAGAGAUGGCCUGCCCUCUUUGAACCAUCACAGACUCUGUUUCUUUUAAGCUGUGCCACAUUCAGUUGAAUUUCACAUUGCUCAAUUAUGGUAAAUGGCCCAUAGUUGUGAAGACGGGAUCUGUGAAGAGUUCCUGAGAAUCAGUGGCAUAUCACUUGAGUCGACAUUUAUGUCACAGUUGGACAGGCAAACUCCAAAGCUGUUGUCACUUUUCAACGCAAAAGGAGGAGCUGUCGGUCAAAGAAUCAAGUUACAAAUGAUGACACUCAUCCAGGAUCCAUCUGCCUCUGUGGAGAAAAGGAGAGAAGUGGUCCUGAGAUGCCUGAUUGAGUACAUGGGGGGGAGA
Molecule: long non-coding RNA, 504 nt
Organism: Cyprinus carpio carpio
Lineage: Eukaryota; Metazoa; Chordata; Actinopteri; Cypriniformes; Cyprinidae
Source: Ensembl